GUGGGUACGGGCAGACUUGAGUGCGGUAGGGGAGAUUGGAAUUCCUGGUGUAGCGGUGGAAUGCGCAGAUAUCAGGAGGAACACCGAUGGCGAAGGCAGAUCUCUGGGCCGUAACUGACGCUGAGGAGCGAAAGGGUGGGGAGCAAACAGGCUUAGAUACCCUGGUAGUCCACCCCGUAAACGUUGGGAACUAGUUGUGGGGUCCUUUCCACGGAUUCCGUGACGCAGCUAACGCAUUAAGUUCCCCGCCUGGGGAGUACGGCCGCAAGGCUAAAACUCAAAGGAAUUGACGGGGACCCGCACAAGCGGCGGAGCAUGCGGAUUAAUUCGAUGCAACGCGAAGAACCUUACCAAGGCUUGACAUACACGAGAACGGGCCAGAAAUGGUCAACUCUUUGGACACUCGUGAACAGGUGGUGCAUGGUUGUCGUCAGCUCGUGUCGUGAGAUGUUGGGUUAAGUCCCGCAACGAGCGCAACCCUCGUUCUAUGUUGCCAGCACGUAAUGGUGGGAACUCAUGGGAUACUGCCGGGGUCAACUCGGAGGAAGGUGGGGAUGACGUCAAAUCAUCAUGCCCCUUAUGUCUUGGGCUUCACGCAUGCUACAAUGGCCGGUACAAUGGGCUGCGAUACCGUGAGGUGGAGCGAAUCCCAAAAAGCCGGUCCCAGUUCGGAUCGUAGUCUGCAACUCGACUACGUGAAGUCGGAGUCGCUAGUAAUCGCAGAUCAGCAACGCUGCGGU
Molecule: ribosomal RNA, 740 nt
Filed under: Microbacterium sp. SKS46
Lineage: Bacteria; Bacillati; Actinomycetota; Actinomycetes; Micrococcales; Microbacteriaceae
Description: bacterial SSU rRNA
Rfam family: Bacterial small subunit ribosomal RNA
Source: RNAcentral